Molecule: ribosomal RNA, 467 nt
Filed under: uncultured bacterium
Lineage: Bacteria
Description: partial 16S ribosomal RNA
Rfam family: Bacterial small subunit ribosomal RNA
Source: RNAcentral
GACGAACGCUGGCGGCGUGCUUAACACAUGCAAGUCGAACGGAAAGGCCCUGCUUUUGUGGGGUGCUCGAGUGGCGAACGGGUGAGUAACACGUGAGUAACCUGCCCUUGACUUUGGGAUAACUUCAGGAAACUGGGGCUAAUACCGGAUAGGAGCUCCUGCUGCAUGGUGGGGGUUGGAAAGUUUCGGCGGUUGGGGAUGGACUCGCGGCUUAUCAGCUUGUUGGUGGGGUAGUGGCUUACCAAGGCUUUGACGGGUAGCCGGCCUGAGAGGGUGACCGGCCACAUUGGGACUGAGAUACGGCCCAGACUCCUAGGGGAGGCAGCAGUGGGGAAUAUUGCACAAUGGGCGGAAGCCUGAUGCAGCAACGCCGCGUGCGGGAUGACGGCCUUCGGGUUGUAAACCGCUUUCGCCUGUGACGAAGCGUGAGUGACGGUAAUGGGUAAAGAAGCACCGGCUAACUACGU